This is a long non-coding RNA of Psammomys obesus (fat sand rat), 418 nucleotides long. RefSeq lists it as uncharacterized. NCBI's taxonomy places the organism in Eukaryota, Metazoa, Chordata, Mammalia, Rodentia, Muridae. The transcript is spliced from 2 exons. The record is from RefSeq and is a predicted model, not a curated record.
CACAUAAAGGAACAGCUAUCAGCACCUUUGAUGAAGAGUAUCCUUUGCAUUGUUGGAAAGAUCAAAUAGAAAAUACAAGUUCCCCUGGAGAGGUUAUUCACUGCCCAAGACUGAACUCGAGGGAUGGAGAUGGAUCCACACUUCAUUGCACAGUCAAAUCCUGCUUUAUUUUCUGGGGAUGUUGAGUGAGGCCAGCCUUGGCCAGGAAUCAGGACAUAUCUGUCUUCUUCUCUGGAAAUGCAGAGUGAACAUACAAGGAUUUUAGCAGAGCCUGUUACAGCCAGUAACUGGAAAUGAUGAAGUGUUUUCAAGAUCAGCAUUUCAGAUUACUGGUUUAUGAUUGGGCUAGAAAUGAACCAUUUAUUUUAGGCUUGGGCCUUAAAAAAAAUAAAAACUUGAAUGAUUUGUUUUCACAGUU